RNAcentral lists this ribosomal RNA (2536 nucleotides) under Escherichia coli. RNAcentral's name for it is "partial 23S ribosomal RNA". It matches the Rfam family "Bacterial large subunit ribosomal RNA", at positions 428 to 2925 of the family's 2925-position model. Lineage: Bacteria; Pseudomonadati; Pseudomonadota; Gammaproteobacteria; Enterobacterales; Enterobacteriaceae. The record is from RNAcentral.
GGUAUCCUGUCUGAAUAUGGGGGGACCAUCCUCCAAGGCUAAAUACUCCUGACUGACCGAUAGUGAACCAGUACCGUGAGGGAAAGGCGAAAAGAACCCCGGCGAGGGGAGUGAAAAAGAACCUGAAACCGUGUACGUACAAGCAGUGGGAGCACAGAGCAAUCUGUGUGACUGCGUACCUUUUGUAUAAUGGGUCAGCGACUUAUAUUCUGUAGCAAGGUUAACCGAAUAGGGGAGCCGAAGGGAAACCGAGUCUUAACUGGGCGUUAAGUUGCAGGGUAUAGACCCGAAACCCGGUGAUCUAGCCAUGGGCAGGUUGAAGGUUGGGUAACACUAACUGGAGGACCGAACCGACUAAUGUUGAAAAAUUAGCGGAUGACUUGUGGCUGGGGGUGAAAGGCCAAUCAAACCGGGAGAUAGCUGGUUCUCCCCGAAAGCUAUUUAGGUAGCGCCUCGUGAAUUCAUCUCCGGGGGUAGAGCACUGUUUCGGCAAGGGGGUCAUCCCGACUUACCAACCCGAUGCAAACUGCGAAUACCGGAGAAUGUUAUCACGGGAGACACACGGCGGGUGCUAACGUCCGUCGUGAAGAGGGAAACAACCCAGACCGCCAGCUAAGGUCCCAAAGUCAUGGUUAAGUGGGAAACGAUGUGGGAAGGCCCAGACAGCCAGGAUGUUGGCUUAGAAGCAGCCAUCAUUUAAAGAAAGCGUAAUAGCUCACUGGUCGAGUCGGCCUGCGCGGAAGAUGUAACGGGGCUAAACCAUGCACCGAAGCUGCGGCAGCGACACUGUGUGUUGUUGGGUAGGGGAGCGUUCUGUAAGCCUGUGAAGGUGUGCUGUGAGGCAUGCUGGAGGUAUCAGAAGUGCGAAUGCUGACAUAAGUAACGAUAAAGCGGGUGAAAAGCCCGCUCGCCGGAAGACCAAGGGUUCCUGUCCAACGUUAAUCGGGGCAGGGUGAGUCGACCCCUAAGGCGAGGCCGAAAGGCGUAGUCGAUGGGAAACAGGUUAAUAUUCCUGUACUUGGUGUUACUGCGAAGGGGGGACGGAGAAGGCUAUGUUGGCCGGGCGACGGUUGUCCCGGUUUAAGCGUGUAGGCUGGUUUUCCAGGCAAAUCCGGAAAAUCAAGGCUGAGGCGUGAUGACGAGGCACUACGGUGCUGAAGCAACAAAUGCCCUGCUUCCAGGAAAAGCCUCUAAGCAUCAGGUAACAUCAAAUCGUACCCCAAACCGACACAGGUGGUCAGGUAGAGAAUACCAAGGCGCUUGAGAGAACUCGGGUGAAGGAACUAGGCAAAAUGGUGCCGUAACUUCGGGAGAAGGCACGCUGAUAUGUAGGUGAAGUCCCUCGCGGAUGGAGCUGAAAUCAGUCGAAGAUACCAGCUGGCUGCAACUGUUUAUUAAAAACACAGCACUGUGCAAACACGAAAGUGGACGUAUACGGUGUGACGCCUGCCCGGUGCCGGAAGGUUAAUUGAUGGGGUCAGCGCAAGCGAAGCUCUUGAUCGAAGCCCCGGUAAACGGCGGCCGUAACUAUAACGGUCCUAAGGUAGCGAAAUUCCUUGUCGGGUAAGUUCCGACCUGCACGAAUGGCGUAAUGAUGGCCAGGCUGUCUCCACCCGAGACUCAGUGAAAUUGAACUCGCUGUGAAGAUGCAGUGUACCCGCGGCAAGACGGAAAGACCCCGUGAACCUUUACUAUAGCUUGACACUGAACAUUGAGCCUUGAUGUGUAGGAUAGGUGGGAGGCUUUGAAGUGUGGACGCCAGUCUGCAUGGAGCCGACCUUGAAAUACCACCCUUUAAUGUUUGAUGUUCUAACGUGGACCCGUGAUCCGGGUUGCGGACAGUGUCUGGUGGGUAGUUUGACUGGGGCGGUCUCCUCCUAAAGAGUAACGGAGGAGCACGAAGGUUGGCUAAUCCUGGUCGGACAUCAGGAGGUUAGUGCAAUGGCAUAAGCCAGCUUGACUGCGAGCGUGACGGCGCGAGCAGGUGCGAAAGCAGGUCAUAGUGAUCCGGUGGUUCUGAAUGGAAGGGCCAUCGCUCAACGGAUAAAAGGUACUCCGGGGAUAACAGGCUGAUACCGCCCAAGAGUUCAUAUCGACGGCGGUGUUUGGCACCUCGAUGUCGGCUCAUCACAUCCUGGGGCUGAAGUAGGUCCCAAGGGUAUGGCUGUUCGCCAUUUAAAGUGGUACGCGAGCUGGGUUUAGAACGUCGUGAGACAGUUCGGUCCCUAUCUGCCGUGGGCGCUGGAGAACUGAGGGGGGCUGCUCCUAGUACGAGAGGACCGGAGUGGACGCAUCACUGGUGUUCGGGUUGUCAUGCCAAUGGCACUGCCCGGUAGCUAAAUGCGGAAGAGAUAAGUGCUGAAAGCAUCUAAGCACGAAACUUGCCCCGAGAUGAGUUCUCCCUGACCCUUUAAGGGUCCUGAAGGAACGUUGAAGACGACGACGUUGAUAGGCCGGGUGUGUAAGCGCAGCGAUGCGUUGAGCUAACCGGUACUAAUGAACCGUGAGGCUUAACCUUACAACGCCGAAGGUGUUU